CAGCAGCCGCGGGAAUACAGAGGGUGCGAGCGUUAAUCGGAUUUACUGGGCGUAAAGCGUGCGUAGGCGGCUAAUUGAGUCGGAUGUGAAAUCCCCGAGCUUAACUUGGGAAUUGCAUUCGAUACUGGUUAGCUAGAGUGUGGGAGAGAAUGGUAGAAUUCCAGGUGUAGCGGUGAAAUGCGUAGAGAUCUGGAGGAAUACCGAUGGCGAAGGCAGCCAUCUGGCCUAACACUGACGCUGAGGUACGAAAGCAUGAGGAGCAAACAGGAUUAGAUACCCCGGUAGUCCCUGUCUCUUAUAC
Molecule: ribosomal RNA, 301 nt
Filed under: uncultured bacterium
Lineage: Bacteria
Description: partial 16S ribosomal RNA
Rfam family: Bacterial small subunit ribosomal RNA
Source: RNAcentral